Cinara cedri is the source of this 248-nucleotide non-coding RNA. NCBI's taxonomy places the organism in Eukaryota, Metazoa, Arthropoda, Insecta, Hemiptera, Aphididae. The record is from the annotation of a GenBank genome assembly.
AUUGAUUUAACUUCGUCACCGAUUCAAAUUAAAACGCAAGACAAAUUUUAUUUGGUAGAUAGGUACGAAUUCGAUUGAUCGGUUUAGAUACAUUUUAAUCUCUCGGACUGAAUUUGUUAUUCACUCCGCCCCUGACAUUGAGUCGGGAAAAUUUCUGUUCGAGAUCUACAAGAAAGAUUUAAAUCCUACGAAAUUCUCUGCGCACGAAUACAACUAAUACUUGACAGGUUUUUAAGUAAUGAUAAUUU